GACGAACGCUGGCGGCGUGCUUAAAACAUGCAAGUUGAACGGACUUCUCAUGAAGCUUGCGAUUGAGAAGUUAGUGGCGGACGGGUGAGUAACGCGUGGGCAACCUGCCCCUGAGCCCGGGAUAACAGUUCGAAAGGACUGCUAAGACCGGAUAUACUUGCGGUGAAGCAUUUCACUGCAAGGAAAGGGAACGCUCAGGGAUGGGCCCGCGUCCCAUUAGCUAGUUGGUGAGGUAACGGCCCACCAAGGCGACGAUGGGUAGCCGGCCUGAGAGGGUGAACGGCCACACUGGGACUGAGACACGGCCCAGACUCCUACGGGAGGCAGCAGUUGGGAAUCUUCGGCAAUGGGCGCAAGCCUGACCGAGCAACGCCGCGUGAGUGAUGAAGGUUUUCGGAUUGUAAAGCUCUGUCUUCCGGGACGAUAAUGACGGUACCGGAGGAGGAAGCCACGGCUAACUACGUG
Molecule: ribosomal RNA, 465 nt
Filed under: uncultured bacterium
Lineage: Bacteria
Description: bacterial SSU rRNA
Rfam family: Bacterial small subunit ribosomal RNA
Source: RNAcentral